This 427-nucleotide ribosomal RNA is filed under the name uncultured archaeon. RNAcentral describes it as "bacterial SSU rRNA". It matches the Rfam family "Archaeal small subunit ribosomal RNA", at positions 147 to 575 of the family's 1478-position model. The record is from RNAcentral.
UAAUACCGGAUAGAUCAAAGAUACUGGAAUGUUCCUUGAUCCAAAGCUCCGGCGUCCAAGGAUGGAUCUGCGGCCUAUCAGGUAGUAGUGGGUGUAACGUACCUACUAGCCUACGACGGGUACGGGUUGUGAGAGCAAGAGCCCGGAGAUGGAUUCUGAGACAUGAAUCCAGGCCCUACGGGGCGCAGCAGGCGCGAAAUCUUUACAAUGCAGGAAACUGCGAUAAGGGGACCCCGAGUGCCAGCAUCUAAUGCUGGCUGUCCAGCUGUGUAAAUAGCAGUUGUUAGCAAGGGCCGGGCAAGACCGGUGCCAGCCGCCGCGGUAACACCGGCGGCCCGAGUGGUAACCGAUUUUAUUGGGUUUAAAGGGUCCGUAGCCGGCCUGUUAAGUCUCUUGGGAAAUCUGGCGGCUUAAUCGUCAGGCGUUC